GAUCCUGAUCCUGUAGGAGAUAUGGACCUCCUAUGAUGAUGGAGCGUCUAACUCAGACUAGCCGUGCCCAAUCAUCUUCUCUGGUUGAUAUUCUUCUACUGGUUCUUCCACUCGUCCUUGAACUUUAUUGCUGAGCUCCUGCAAUUUGGAGACCGAGAGUUUUACAGAGACUGGUGGAACUCUGAGACCAUCACAUACUUUUGGCAAAACUGGAAUAUUCCAGUACACAAGUGGUGCCUUCGCCACUUCUACAAGCCCCUGCUGAAGAGUGGAGUCAGUAAGUGGCUCGGCCAAUCAGCAGUGUUCCUGGCUUCAGCCUUCUUUCAUGAGUACCUGGUCAGCGUUCCACUGAAGAUGCUGAGGCCAUGGGCUUUUAUGGGCAUGAUGGCUCAGCUUCCGCUGGCCUGGUUUGUGGCGCGUUUUCUCCGAGGUAACUAUGGCAACGCAGCCGUAUGGAUCUCUCUCAUCAUUGGCCAGCCAAUCGCCGUGCUCAUGUACGUCCACGACUACUAUGUACUUCACUACAGAGAGGGGUCGGUGGGGGGUGGACCUGAUGACCUCCUCAGGGAAUAUAUACCAGACCAGCCUUUUAUAGGAAAGACAAAUAGAGCUAGAAAUGUACUUUAUGGUACUUUAUGAAAGCACCUUAAAGGGGCAAUCAGCAUUUGCUACAUCCAUUUUUGGACUCAUACUUUAAUGAUAUGUACAUUCGAUUCUUGAAGAACAACUUCUAAAUGUCUCACCAGCUUAGUUCAACUGUCGCUCUCCAUCAAAACCUAAAUAUAAGAUUGUUUUACUCCAAUAUUGGAAACAAAGAAUGUAAACAAACACUAUAUAGCCUCAAACAUGGUUAAAACUAUACUUUUUUAUAUUGGAUGGUCAAUCGUUGCAUCCAUAGCUCUUGUCCAUGAAUUUUAAAGUGAUAACAUUUCUCCAGUCCCAUCCCUCACUUUUUACUGAACCAGGGGUGGGGAGGCAGCUUUGUUAUUGUUUCAACUGCUGAUUGCCACUUUUAAAGAUAACACACUUCUUAUAGAAACAAUCAAUAUAGUUAGUGAAUAUUAGAAUAUGCCUUAUUGAAUCAUGUCUGACAAGUGCAAUUUUCAAAAAGUGCCAGUUUCUCAGAAAAUGUGCACAACCAGUACAUGUGUGUUUGUAAGAUUUGUGUUUUUUAUGCCACUCAAGCCUCAAUAUUUGUCAUCGUGUUUUACUUGGGUACGUAUAGAGGGAAAUGUAGAGAUAGGAAAAUGGCAGCUGGUGAUUCUUGACUUUAGUCCGUUAAUUGGUCAUUAUUAUGUUGCCGACAGAACUACAUGGACAAGUAAAUAUAUUCUCUCUUUAUGUGAA
This is a non-coding RNA of Salvelinus sp. IW2-2015, 1347 nucleotides long. Lineage: Eukaryota; Metazoa; Chordata; Actinopteri; Salmoniformes; Salmonidae. The record is from RefSeq and is a predicted model, not a curated record.